CCUACGGGUGGCAGCAGUGAGGCAUAUUGGUCACUGGCCGAGAGGCUGAACCAGCCAAGCCGCGUGAGGGAAGAAUGUCCUAUGGAUUGUAAACCUCUUUUGUCAGGGAGCAAAGUCACCCACGUGUGGGUGUUGGAGAGUACCUGAAGAAAAAGCAUCGGCUAACUCCGUGCCAGCAGCCGCGGUAAUACGGGGGAUGCGAGCGUUAUCCGGAUUUAUUGGGUUUAAGGGGGCGUAGGCGGGUUAUCACGUCAGCGGUAAAAUCGCGGAGCUCAACGCCGUCCAGCCGUUGAAACGGAGGAUCUUGAGUGGGCGAGAGGUAUGCGGAAGGCGUGGUGUAGCGGUGAAAUGCGUAGAUAUCACGCAGAACUCCGAUUGCGAAGGCAGCAUACCGGCGCCCGACUGACGCUGAAGCACGAAAGCGUGGGUAUCGAACAGGAUUAGAUACCCGAGUAGUC
RNAcentral lists this ribosomal RNA (458 nucleotides) under uncultured bacterium. RNAcentral's name for it is "partial 16S ribosomal RNA". It matches the Rfam family "Bacterial small subunit ribosomal RNA", at positions 338 to 795 of the family's 1533-position model. The record is from RNAcentral.